UGUUAAAUUUAAGUUAUAAUAAGGUAAAUUAUAAAAUUUUAAUUCGAUUACGUUAAUAUUGAAUAAUCUGUGUGUUUUUUAACGUAGUGGCUAUUUUUAACAUUUUUUACAUUGAAAUGGCCAUAAAAAUUAUUUUAAUCUAACUAUAGCAUAAAGAAUAAACCUUAAAAUUCAAGAAAAACAUGUGGUCGCCGUGCAACCACUUCUGGAAUAUUUGACAUGGAUUGAUCCUAAGCUUCGAUGUGAAUCUGAAGUGUAUCUCUACGUAAUAAACUCUUCAAAAAUAGGUGAUAACAUUAAUGGAAUAACUGUGCGGUCGUCAAAUUUGGAUCAAGAGCUAAUUAUAUCGAUUAAUCGAUGUUAUUAUCGAUAGCCAAAAAAUAACUUUUUCUAAUAAUAUUAUAUAUUAUUACAUUUCUUGAUGAAAUAAUUACAUGACUCAAUCAAUGGGGGGCAUGUGCCCCUGUGCCACCCCCUCAUAAUUCGCCAUUGUAUAGAGUGUUUAGUAAAUAAGAAAACGGGUUUCUAUUGUUCUCAAUAUUAGUAACAAUUAACCUGUUUCCUUACGUACUAUACACUCUGUAAUUUUGAAGUCG
This is a long non-coding RNA of Daktulosphaira vitifoliae (grape phylloxera), 596 nucleotides long. RefSeq lists it as uncharacterized. The record is from RefSeq and is a predicted model, not a curated record. Lineage: Eukaryota; Metazoa; Arthropoda; Insecta; Hemiptera; Phylloxeridae. The transcript is spliced from 3 exons.